Molecule: ribosomal RNA, 254 nt
Filed under: uncultured bacterium
Lineage: Bacteria
Description: partial 16S ribosomal RNA
Rfam family: Bacterial small subunit ribosomal RNA
Source: RNAcentral
UACGUAGGGUCCGAGCGUUGUCCGGAAUUACUGGGCGUAAAGAGCUCGUAGGUGGUUUGUCGCGUUGUUCGUGAAAACUCACAGCUUAACUGUGGGCGUGCGGGCGAUACGGGCAGACUAGAGUACUGCAGGGGAGACUGGAAUUCCUGGUGUAGCGGUGGAAUGCGCAGAUAUCAGGAGGAACACCGGUGGCGAAGGCGGGUCUCUGGGCAGUAACUGACGCUGGAGGAGCGAAAGCGUGGGGAGCGAACAGG